Molecule: ribosomal RNA, 331 nt
Filed under: uncultured bacterium
Lineage: Bacteria
Description: bacterial SSU rRNA
Rfam family: Bacterial small subunit ribosomal RNA
Source: RNAcentral
AAUCAACGCUGGCGGCGUGCCUCAGACAUGCAAGUCGAACGAUUAAAGCUCUCUUCGGAGAGUGUAUAGAGCGGCGCACGGGUGAGUAACACGUAAGUAAUCUACCUUCGAGUGGGGAAUAACGUCCGGAAACGGACGCUAAUACCGCAUAAUGCAGCGGCAUCGCAAGAUGACAGUUGUUAAAGAUUUAUCGCUUGAAGAGGAGCUUGCGGCAGAUUAGCUAGUUGGUAAGGUAACGGCUUACCAAGGCUACGAUCUGUAUCCGGUCUAAGAGGACGGUCGGACACACUGACACUGAAUAACGGGUCAGACUCCUACGGGAGGCAGCAGU